GGGCCGGCAGCCCGGAGCGGCCCCGGGGUGCCGUGUGCGGUGUCAGCCUGCCGAGCUCGUUGUUGGCCGUACCGCGCUGUCCGCUCCCCGGCGCGGCUCGGCAGCGCUCCUCCUCUGGGUGGGGAGCUGGCGGCAUCCCGCUCCUGCCCCCGGCCUGGGACCGCGGCUGCUGCAGAGACCGGAGCCGUGCGGCGUCAUCGUGGAUCGCCCGUGCUGAGGAGCGGCUGAGGUGCGCAAGGCUGUCGGAUGCCGAAACACGAGGAUGAUUUAGCAAAACGCCAUCGAGGCUAGGGGAGAACAUUGAAAAAUUAACUGGUGUUACCUCAUUCUGUGCUGACCCCUACACUAUGAACACAUACUGUUUUUGCUGUCACCUCAGACCAGUGGUGAAUACGAAGACUCUGGCCACUGAACUGCAUUUCUCUCUAUAAAGCAGCUUUAAAAUAACCAUCCAGAUGGCAGACUAGCAAGCAGUGGGGAUUGCCUGCAUUUUGGAAUUUGGACCUCAGCACCAUUGUAAUCUGUAGACAGCUGUGGCUAAAGGUGAAAAUGAAACUUCUCUGUACAUGAUAAACCAAAAACCAGGAAUCAGCUCUCAGUAUUUGAAAUGGCUGAGAUUUCAGGAGGUAGUACUGUUGCUCCAUCUGAAACACAAGUUUGCCUAAAUGCAACCCUCUGUAGGAAUAGGUGCACCUGGAGCAUCCAUGUCCCUGUGGUCAGAGGUUCCCGGUCCGUCGUGCCAGGGCCGUUUCCGUGGUGGCAGUGAGGCCAUGUCCAUGCCCUGGAGUGAAGAGGAACGUUCUCUGCUGGCUGGAGAGUGCCCAUCAUGAGGAGGGUGAUCUGGACGAGGACCUGUGCACGAAAACACAGGAUAAGAUUCUGGUUUCCUCCCUCCUUCAAAGCGUGGGAACUCGUCUGGAGUAGGAAGCAAACCCUUCCGAGCUCCUGAGCAGUAAGAGAAGCAGGGGACAGGAGUGAGAAGAGACAUUGUAUUCAUGAAAAUCAUGUCACCU
This is a long non-coding RNA of Passer montanus (Eurasian tree sparrow), 1013 nucleotides long. RefSeq lists it as uncharacterized. The record is from RefSeq and is a predicted model, not a curated record. The transcript has 4 exons. Lineage: Eukaryota; Metazoa; Chordata; Aves; Passeriformes; Passeridae.